Molecule: ribosomal RNA, 253 nt
Filed under: uncultured bacterium
Lineage: Bacteria
Description: partial 16S ribosomal RNA
Rfam family: Bacterial small subunit ribosomal RNA
Source: RNAcentral
UACGGAGGGUGCGAGCGUUGUUCGGAAUUACUGGGCGUAAAGCGCGUGUAGGCGGCCUUCUAAGUCUGGUGUGAAAGCCCGGGGCUCAACCCCGGGAGGCGGGUGGAUACUGUCAAGCUCGAGUCCGGAAGAGGAGUGUGGAAUUCCUGGUGUAGCGGUGAAAUGCGCAGAUAUCAGGAGGAACACCAAUGGCGAAGGCAGCACUCUGGGACGUGACUGACGCUGAGACGCGAGAGCGUGGGGAGCAAACAGG